Molecule: microRNA, 22 nt
Filed under: Gadus morhua (Atlantic cod)
Lineage: Eukaryota; Metazoa; Chordata; Actinopteri; Gadiformes; Gadidae
Also listed under: 2 other names
Description: gmo-miR-460-5p
Gene: gmo-miR-460-5p
Source: miRBase by way of RNAcentral
CCUGCAUUGUACACACUGUGCA